GCAGCAAAUCCAGAGGGACAGGCCCCUGCUCCUAGCUAAUCAGACAGCCAUCAACUAGAGGGAUUGAGGUUAAACGCCAGAAAGAACUUCCUACCAUGAAGGGAGCAGCACAGAGGGAAGUGGGGGCUGCAUGAUUGCUAGUCUGGGUGACUUCUUUUAAGAGCUGCUGGAAUAUGCUGUGACUUUCCCUCAACCUAUUGAUAAAUCUUGGUCCAUAGUUUGGGGAGGGGUGAGGCCUUUGACACAUCCCUAGGAAGAAGAGAGGGGCUGUUUGGGAUAAUUCCAAUUCAGUGCUGAGAAGGGGUUCCUCUCUAAUCACGGCCAGCUACCAGGAGGAGGGACAGUGCUUUCCAGCAGAGUGGCCCCAGGUAGGUUUUGCUCACUGUCUGUUCCUCCCUCCCUCCCCCUCAGGGUGUUCCUGGAGACCUUGGUGCCCCCGGCCCCUCUGGAGCAAGAGGCGAGAGAGGUUUCCCUGGC
Molecule: small RNA, 477 nt
Filed under: Pongo abelii (Sumatran orangutan)
Lineage: Eukaryota; Metazoa; Chordata; Mammalia; Primates; Hominidae
Description: retained intron
Source: RNAcentral